RNAcentral lists this ribosomal RNA (468 nucleotides) under uncultured bacterium. RNAcentral describes it as "partial 16S ribosomal RNA". It matches the Rfam family "Bacterial small subunit ribosomal RNA", at positions 28 to 507 of the family's 1533-position model. The record is from RNAcentral.
GACGAACGCUGGCGGCGUGCUUAACACAUGCAAGUCGAACGGAAAGGCCCUGCUUUUGUGGGGUGCUCGAGUGGCGAACGGGUGAGUAACACGUGAGUAACCUGCCCUUGACUUUGGGAUAACUUCAGGAAACUGGGGCUAAUACCGGAUAGGAGCUCCUGCUGCAUGGUGGGGGUUGGAAAGUUUCGGCGGUUGGGGAUGGACUCGCGGCUUAUCAGCUUGUUGGUGGGGUAGUGGCUUACCAAGGCUUUGACGGGUAGCCGGCCUGAGAGGGUGACCGGCCACAUUGGGACUGGGAUACGGCCCAGACUCCUACGGGAGGCAGCAGUGGGGAAUAUUGCACAAUGGGCGGAAGCCUGAUGCAGCAACGCCGCGUGCGGGAUGACGGCCUUCGAGUUGUAAACCGCUUUCGCCUGUGACGAAGCGUGAGUGACGGUAAUGGGUAAAGAAGCACCGGCUAACUACGUG